ACGAAGGGUGCAAACGUUGCUCGGAAUUACUGGGCGUAAAGUGUGCGCAGGCGGCCGAGCAAGUCGAGUGUGAAAGCCCCGGGCUUAACUUGGGGAUUGCGCUCGAAACUACUUGGCUGGAGUGUGGCAGAGGAAGGUGGAAUUCCACGUGUAGCGGUGAAAUGCGUAGAGAUGUGGAGGAACACCAAUGGCGAAGGCAGCCUUCUGGGCCAACACUGACGCUCAUGCACGAAAGCGUGGGGAGCAAACAGGA
Molecule: ribosomal RNA, 253 nt
Filed under: uncultured prokaryote
Description: partial 16S ribosomal RNA
Rfam family: Bacterial small subunit ribosomal RNA
Source: RNAcentral